Small nucleolar RNA from Gymnodraco acuticeps, 82 nucleotides. RefSeq annotates it as small nucleolar RNA SNORD74. The transcript has a single exon. The record is from RefSeq and is a predicted model, not a curated record. NCBI's taxonomy places the organism in Eukaryota, Metazoa, Chordata, Actinopteri, Perciformes, Bathydraconidae.
CCCGUGUAUAUAUGAUGAUUUAAAAUGUUGGUAGGGACAACUGAAUAUUUGUGUAGAAUGCCAACCGCUCUGACUGCACGGG